CCGGGGAUAACAGGCUGAUACCGCCCAAGAGUUCAUAUCGACGGCGGUGUUUGGCACCUCGAUGUCGGCUCAUCACAUCCUGGGGCUGAAGCAGGUCCCAAGGGUAUGGCUGUUCGCCAUUUAAAGUGGUACGCGAGCUGGGUUUAGAACGUCGUGAGACAGUUCGGUCCCUAUCUGCCGUGGGCGCUGGAGAACUGAGGGGGGCUGCUCCUAGUACGAGAGGACCGGAGUGGACGCAUCACUGGUGUUCGGGUUGUCAUGCCAAUGGCACUGCCCGGUAGCUAAAUGCGGAAGAGAUAAGUGCUGAAAGCAUCUAAGCACGAAACUUGCCCCGAGAUGAGUUCUCCCUUGAGCCGACAUCGAGGUGCCAAACACCGCCGUCG
RNAcentral lists this ribosomal RNA (383 nucleotides) under Staphylococcus capitis. Its description in RNAcentral is "partial 23S ribosomal RNA". It matches the Rfam family "Bacterial large subunit ribosomal RNA", at positions 2468 to 2925 of the family's 2925-position model. Lineage: Bacteria; Bacillati; Bacillota; Bacilli; Caryophanales; Staphylococcaceae. The record is from RNAcentral.